AAAAAAAAAAAAAAAACCCAUCUGGAGAAAACUAAAAAGCUCAGUCUUUCCCCUGGGCCCAGAAUGCCCUUCUUCCCCUGCCCUAGGAAAGCCCAGUCACCUCUGAGGAGGCAGCAACAUCCUGGCUCCUCCCACUUGCUUUCAGUGCAUCCCCACGUCCAUUCUCUCAUGGAACCCUGUGCACAUCUCUAUCUGAGCACCCGUAAGACUGUGUUCUGCUAGCUCAUGUGUUCAUCAUCUCCGUGUUGACUGUAAACUUCACUUUGUACCUUGUCCCCCAGAAUCCAGCACCGAAUCUGGCACACUGAAUGAAUGAAUGAGUGAAUCAAAGAAUGAGUGGGCAAGUAAGUGAAUAAAUUAACGAGCUUCCCUGGAGUGAUGACAUAGAAUUGUUUCUUAAUUAUUUUAUAGGUUUCUCCUCUUUCCAGCUUCUAUAUCACAACAGGAUGAUUCUAAAGGGCCAUCCCAGCUUCAGAGUUCCCUGGGGGCUAGCUGAGGCUUUCACUGGGACUUCAUCAGUGCUCAGCUUCUUCAUCUGCCCCAUCCUGCUUCCAACUCAUUCUUUCCACAGGUGUUGAUCCGAAGCACAUUCCUCGUAAAUCUCCUGCAUACAAAUCUCCAUCUCAGAGCUAGCUUCUGGGAACCCUCAUGCUACAAGUCAUUAGGAACAUGGAUUUUGGACACUUCUAACAAGCCUGAGUUUUAGUCCUGGCUCUUGUACUUACUUGCACUGUAACCUAGAGAAAAAUUACCUAACUUCUCAGAGGCUUCAUCUGCAAUAGAAAUGAAUUCAUUGAGUCGUGGGAGUUCAAUGAAAUGUUGUUUGAAGCACAUUUAGCACAGCACCCGGUACACUGAUAAGUGCUCACUAAAGGAUUACUUGUAUCAUCAUCAAUAUUGCAUGGUCCAAGGCACAUGGCAAGGCUAUGGAACACACAGAAGCCAACUAGAUUGGCUACAAGGCCAGCCUCAAGAGAGGAAGAAACAGAUAUAUAUAAAAAAAUACAGGGGCGGAGGAGCCAAGAUGGCCGAAUAGGAACAGCUCCGGUCUACAGCUCCCAGCGUGAGCGACGCAGAAGACGGGUGAUUUCUGCAUUUCCAUCUGAGGUACUGGGUUCAUCUCACUAGGGAGUGCCAGACAGUGGGCGC
Long non-coding RNA from Homo sapiens (human), 1149 nucleotides. Ensembl annotates it as long intergenic non-protein coding RNA 2071. The record is from Ensembl. Lineage: Eukaryota; Metazoa; Chordata; Mammalia; Primates; Hominidae.